This 95-nucleotide ribosomal RNA is filed under the name Caerostris darwini. Lineage: Eukaryota; Metazoa; Arthropoda; Arachnida; Araneae; Araneidae. The record is from RNAcentral.
AAAUAUACCGGUUCUCGUUCGAUCACCGAAGUUAAGCAUCAUCGGGCGCGGUCAGUACUUGGGAGGGUGACCACUUGGAAAAACCGCGUGCCGUU